CAACCUACCGUAUACAGGGGGAUAACUUUUUUUAAAAGGUGCUAAUACCGCAUAAGCGCACAGCAGUGCAUACUGGAGUGUGAAAAGCCGAGACGGUAUACGAUGGGCCCGCGUCUGAUUAGCCAGUUGGCAGGGUAACGGCCUACCAAAGCGACUAUCAGUAGUCGGCCUGAGAGGGCGGACGGUCACAUUGGGACUG
RNAcentral lists this ribosomal RNA (199 nucleotides) under uncultured bacterium. Its description in RNAcentral is "partial 16S ribosomal RNA". It matches the Rfam family "Bacterial small subunit ribosomal RNA", at positions 122 to 321 of the family's 1533-position model. The record is from RNAcentral.